Molecule: long non-coding RNA, 1591 nt
Organism: Bos taurus (domestic cattle)
Lineage: Eukaryota; Metazoa; Chordata; Mammalia; Artiodactyla; Bovidae
Source: Ensembl
GGGGAUGAGGUUUUCCUUUUUGUUUUGAGAAAGCCUCUGAAAGUUUCCAGAACAAAGGCCUUCUCUGCUCCUCCUGAUUUUGUCAGUGGCAAACAAAACAUUGGGCAGUGGACUGUCACACAGAAAUGAAGGUGGGCAUGGGACUUCUGCGAACUGGAAAGAACCCUGACAACUGCAGAGGUCAAGGCUCAGCCCCCUCCUUCUAUCCUUCGACAGCCAAGACCGCAGAGGCAGCUUAUUAGACCCUUUCCUACUCCAAAAGGAGCUCCUGUUAACUUUUGAAGAAGCAGGGAUGUCACCACUCCCUGGAAGGCGGUGAAAAGUGCAGGGGUUUGCUGAUGUCUGCGCAUUUCAGCAAGAAACAAAGAAUAAAACAGAAGUGUCUGCUUCUGAGAGAGACUCUGGGAGACCCUCGGAGAUGUGCAGCGUUACAGUGGCCCUGUGCAACAUGCAAAGGGGCCACCGGCUCGAUCCCUGGUCCUGGAAGAUCCCACAUGCUGCAGAGCAAAUAAGCCCGUGGACCACGACUACCGAGCCUGCCCAUCACAACAAAGAAUAGCUUCCACUUGCUGCAACUAGAGAAAGCCUGCUCACAGCAAGAGACCAGCACAGCCCCAAAUAAAUAAAUAUAUAUUUUUAAAUGCAAAAAUAUAUAGGGUGAUGUGUAAUGGCAACAUUCACAAGUGAAAGCUCAGGAGUCAGACCUCAGCCAGCACUAGCAGGAGGGGGAAAUGCUGAGAGCAUCCUUAACCUGCAGGGUCCGUCUCAAGGCCACAAUAGGAUGGGGACACAGAUGUGGGAGCGAGGUUUCCACAGAGGAGAAAGAUGGCUAACUCAGCAUGAGACGUGACUUCCUAGGCAGCAGGCAUUUUGCAGAAUAUUCUAGAAGACAUACCUCCUCAACUUUUGUGCCAUGAAGAGUGGAGACAGCUAGAGCCAGAGAGGGGAGCUGGGGGGGAGGUCGACGUGGUCUCAGCAUCCAUCUCUCUGCUGAUGCCAGGGUUGAUCCUGCUGACGUGUGUGGGGACACAUUCCGUGUCUCCACAGUGUUACAACAGAAAUGGAAAAUGGGGUUUUUUUUCUGCUAACAUUCAAGAGAAACAAACGAAAGAGAACAUGGCUCUAAAACCCCCCAAGAACAGGCCUGUAAGAGUGAAGCAAUCCUGGCUUUACUUUAGCUGUUUCUCAUCUAUGGCACACAUAACUAGACUUGUCCUUCACAAAGUUGCUUUGUUAAUCACUCUCUAAUCACUCAGUGAAUUCUGUCCUGCACCUGGCAUUAUUCCCCCUGCCCCACUCCCUCGUAGCAUUUUCAUUUCAGAAAGAAGGCCACAGGCAGAUAACUUUGGAAAGGACCAGCCCCAGUUACCAAUGGCCUAAUGCCAGCUGUAGCCAUUUUGAAAUCUUGCAGAAGAAAGAAGAAUGCAAGCCAUCCCUGCUCUGAGCCUUAUCUCCUACCCCAGAACUAUGAGCCCUGACUAUAAGACCCGUCCCUGUUCUCCAGGGAUGGGGGCACUGUUCCUGAGGCACUAAACUGCUGUGUUCCCUCUUUGCUUGGCAAAGAAUAAAACUAGUCUUUCUCUUUACUCCC